GCCUUAAUGAUUGUCUUUAUGCAGGACCUCCGCUUCAAAAUCGGUUGUGGAACGUGUUGGUACGCAUUCGUUUUCACCCAGUUGCAGUGACCGGGGACAUUAAACAGGCUUUUUUACAAGUCCGUAUCAGGAAAGCAGAGAAAGACUCACUCAGAUUCCAUUGGAAGUCCAAUAAACAGUCGUUAGUCGAAACAUUGAGAUUCACGCGAGCGCUAUUUGGUCUAGUGUGUUCGCCGUUCCUUCUCGGCGGUGUCGUCGAACGUCAUCUGGAAUCGUGGAAAGAACGUGAACCAGAGCUGGUCGCUGAAAUCCGUAGAAGCCUUUAUGUUGACGACCUACUGAGUGGUAAGCCAACCGUAGCAGAAGCAAAGGAUUUGAAGGAAGGAGCUAUUAAGAUUUUUCAAGAUGCCAAGUUCACAUUACACAAAUGGCAUUCAAAUGAUCCUGAGUUGGAAAGCGAACAGUCCAGCGUGGAGACGGAGAAUACCUUUGCCAAACAGCAACUUGGUGCACCAACCGAUCCGGAGUCAAGUCUUCUCGGCCUGUCCUGGAACAAGGAAGCUGAUGAGUUCAGUGUUGUGGUCCCCGAUAUGAAACCGAACGUGACUAAGAGAGAACUUUUGAGCAAUCUAGCAAGCAUUUAUGAUCCCUUGGGCCUUGUAGCACCUGUGACACUCAAGGGAAAGACAAUCCACCGAGAAACGUGCAAGGCAAAAACAGCAUGGGAUGCAUCACUUCCAGAACCACAAGCAGCAGAAUAUGGUCGAUGGGUAAGGGAACUGCCUAGACGUGUAACUGUACCGAGAGCCUUGACAACUCAGCGCGAAGCUGUAGAAGAAAUUGAGCUGCACACAUUCGGGGAUGCAAGUGGGAAAGGAGUUUGUGCAGCCCUUUAUGCAAUUGUGAAACAAGGUGAUGAAACCAACGUGGGUUUAGUCGCUGCCAGAGCAAGAUUAGCUAAACAGGACUUGAGCAUACCUCGCCUAGAACUUGUUUCCGCCCAUAUGGCAGCAAAUCUGAUGAUGAAUGUUCAACAAGCGCUUGAUGGAAUGCCUGUUACGGGAACCUACGGAUGGUUAGACAGCACGGUAGCGCUGCAGUGGUUAAAAGGGGGAGGAGAAUAUAAACAAUUUGUGGCCAAUCGGGUGAGAAAGAUUCAAGCUUGCCCAGAUAUAAUUUGGCGUCAUGUCCCAAGUCAAGACAACCCUGCUGACCUGGGAAGUCGGGGAGGACAGGUGACUGGAAAUCUACUGUGGUGGAAAGGACCUCCGUGGUUGACCAAUCAGAGCGAGUGGCCAAGAGAUAUAGUAACGACUGCAACCCAUGAAAGCGAAGCCAAAGCGACAAGAGCAGUGUUCAAGUUAGCUGUAGAACCAACCAACCCACCUGAUGAAAUCUUGACAAAGUUUUCCCUCAACAAAGCUGUGAGAGUAAACGCAUGGAUUUCUCGAUUUGUGUAUAAUUGUCGAGCGAAAGCAACUAAGAAAGAGACACGGUCGGGGCCGUUGACAACGCAAGAGAUAAACGACCAACACAGCGCUUAUGUAAAACAAGCCCAAGCAAUUCUAGACGACAAAGUGAGCGACGAUAAGCAACGCCUGGGUGUACAAAUGAAUGAAGAUGGUAUGCUCGUGUGCAAAGGUCGGUUGCAAGGUCAAUACCCCGUAUUUUUACCGGACAGUCAUCUUUACACCACUAAACUCGUAGAAGAUGCGCAUCAACGCACGUUACACGGGGGAGUCGGGCUCACUAUGGCCAAGAUUAGAGAGAACGUUUGGGUGCCAAGGCUAAGACAACUUGUAAAGAAGACCGUAAAGGGAUGCCACGGGUGUCGACGAUUUCAUGCUAAGCCAGUUAGUAAACCACCUCCAGGAAACUUGCCCGUAGACCGAACAGAAGGUGAUCGUCCGUUUCAGGUCGUAGGCGUCGAUUUCGCCGGCCCCAUCAAGUAUCGCGUCACCAAAAAGACGGAAGGAAAGGCGUAUAUAACCCUCUACGCAUGUAGUCUAACGCGAGCCCUCUACCUAGAGUUAACCACGAGCAUGGAAACCGAUGAAUUUAUCCCUACCCUCAAGCGACUCAUCGCGAGGAAAGGCAGACCGGAAAAGAUUUAUUCCGACAACGCAAAGACCUUCGUUGCGGCAGCCAAGUGGUUGAAGAAGGCACAACAAGAUGAAAAAUUCAAUCAUUUCCUGGCCAACGAAAAAAUAAAAUGGCAGUUCAAUCUAAGUCGGGCCCCCUGGUGGGGGGGCCAAUUCGAACGUAUGGUCGGCUUGGUCAAGUCCGCGUUGUACAAGUCUAUUGGGAAUGGCUUCUUAGCCAAGAAAGAACUCGAAGAUGUCCUUCUAGACAUUGAAACAACAUUGAACAACAGACCUCUAGGGUACCAAGAAGAUGAUAUCCAAAUGCCAACAUUGACACCGAACAGUUUGCAGUUUGUUGGAUCGACCCACCUUCCGGAACCCGAACAUUACCACGAAGCCGAUCCUGACCUACGUAAACGCGAAAUACCUAAAGAAAUGUAAAGAUCACAUGUGGAACAGGUGGACGAAAGAGUACCUACGAGCCUUACGAGAACGACAUAAUUUAAAACAUGAUACGAAGCCAUUCAGCCUAGCUGUGGGUGAUGUCGUCAUAAUUUAUUCUGAAGAGCGCAAUAGAGGAAAGUGGCCGCUCGGAAUGGUUCAGGAACUUUACCCAGGAAGAGACGGGGUCGUUCGAGCAGCGAAAAUAAAGACGGGAAACGGUCAUUUAGAGAGAGCAGUCAAUCUACUCUACCCACUUGAACUGUCGUGUGACAUAAGACCAUCAACCGGUAGUGAAAACCUCAAUCCAGAAGCUGCAGUAUUUCGACCAACCCGCGAGGCAGCGGUCACCGCAAGGUUACGCAUCCAAGAGCAAGCGAACGAUGAUGAAAUUUGAACAAGAAUUUGAACAUAGUAUAUCCUUUUGAGACGUUAAAGUUUAUAUCUAAUAGAUGACAUUUAGUAGACCUUACAUUAGUAACAUUGAGAUUAUUUAAGUUUCCUUUCAGUACAUAUACCUUCAAGAAGCUAUAUGGGGGGAGAGUGUCGGAAACUAUAUUUAGCUUUUUUAUUAUCGCGUGGGACAUGCGAGUAUACUCGCAGACAGUCGGACAGCUCCGGAAUAUACCGUUGAGAAUGUUUACAGAGCGAGAGAUUCGGGAAAGAACACAGCGAAGCAUGAGAUUUUUGUCAAUAAAACUAUAGAAAUACACAGUGUUUGUAAUUUUAAUUUAUGUUGGGAAUCAACGGGAGGCAAUUCUCAACAGUGGCAACAAAAACAAGAUUAAACUAUAUAUAGAACAUUCAUUUCAAACUAGGCGGUGUCUGAAAUUGAUGCCGGGUUUUACUAAAUUUUCCCCUGUUAUAACUUCCUCCCAAAAAACAACUUAACUGAAGGAGAACGAACAAUUUUUAAAAUAAGACUAUAAACUCGUUUUUUUAAG
Molecule: long non-coding RNA, 3469 nt
Filed under: Paramuricea clavata
Lineage: Eukaryota; Metazoa; Cnidaria; Anthozoa; Malacalcyonacea; Plexauridae
Source: RNAcentral